Molecule: non-coding RNA, 837 nt
Organism: Nicotiana tabacum (common tobacco)
Lineage: Eukaryota; Viridiplantae; Streptophyta; Magnoliopsida; Solanales; Solanaceae
Source: RefSeq, a predicted model, not a curated record
UCAUUAUUGCAACUUGUUGCUUGCCAAACUUUUAGCCAAUCAAAAUACUUGCAUAUGCCAUUUGCUUUGCGAGUUGUCAAACUUUUUUUUCCAGCCAUUCACUUCAUUAUUGCAACUUGUUGUCAUCAUUUUCUUUCUUUCUUUUUAUUUCUUUUUAUUAGACGAGUCCCACAAUCUGUACAAAAUCAUAGCCUAGCCAACACAGCUAGCUAUCCAAGGAAAAUUUACACAGUGACAUCUAAACAAAUAGUAACCAAACUAGAAUAUUAAAUGUUGUACUAUACUCCUGAUUCUAGUGGGGGCUGGAACAUUACACAAGUAUGCAAUUUCUUUUGCUAUGUUUUCCCAUCCUCUGCUGUUAUGCUCAAACACUCUUUGGUUUCUUUCAAUCCAGAUGCUAUAGACACACUCAGCAUAUAUCAAUUUGAAUAGCUUUGCUGCUUGAGAUUUUCCCUUGGAGUUUGUCACAGCUCAUUGUAUCACUUUUGUGGCUAUUUGGCAGCGGUAGGGAGGUGCACACGCACAAGUAGUAGAGCAGCAACUAUACGCCGGGUUCCGGAGCAUCGGGAGUAUACCAAGUCGAAAGUUUCAGGUUCUAUUCGCGGGAAUUGCAAAUUCCCGCUUCACCGGCGUCGUCGGCACUCAACCCAAGGGGCCGUCGUCGGCAUGAGGACUCCUCUCCAUCUCCGGUUCCUCAGACCACCCUCGCCGGAUUUGACUCCCUCCGCCCACCGCCGCCAUGCUGAUAUUGAGUCACAGUUAGGAUUCAACCCAAAACUUGGCUAUUCUACUCCUAAAGUGCCUUGCCUUAGCCUCGUCACUACUUCAUCGAGGUUA